RNAcentral lists this ribosomal RNA (502 nucleotides) under uncultured bacterium. Its description in RNAcentral is "bacterial SSU rRNA". It matches the Rfam family "Bacterial small subunit ribosomal RNA", at positions 30 to 524 of the family's 1533-position model. The record is from RNAcentral.
AUUGAACGCUGGCGGCAGGCUUAACACAUGCAAGUCGAGCGGGGGAGGUUGCUUCGGUAACUGACCUAGCGGCGGACGGGUGAGUAAUGCUUAGGAAUCUGCCUAUUAGUGGGGGACAACAUCUCGAAAGGGAUGCUAAUACCGCAUACGUCCUAUGGGAGAAAGCAGGGGACCUUCGGGCCUUGCGCUAAUAGAUGAGCCUAAGUCGGAUUAGCUAGUUGGUGGGGUAAAGGCCUACCAAGGCGACGAUCUGUAGCGGGUCUGAGAGGAUGAUCCGCCACACUGGGACUGAGACACGGCCCAGACUCCUACGGGAGGCAGCAGUGGGGAAUAUUGGACAAUGGGCGGAAGCCUGAUCCAGCCAUGCCGCGUGUGUGAAGAAGGCCUUUUGGUUGUAAAGCACUUUAAGCGAGGAGGAGGCUACUGGUAUUAAUACUACCGGAUAGUGGACGUUACUCGCAGAAUAAGCACCGGCUAACUCUGUGCCAGCAGCCGCGGUAAU